RNAcentral lists this ribosomal RNA (210 nucleotides) under uncultured bacterium. RNAcentral's name for it is "partial 16S ribosomal RNA". It matches the Rfam family "Bacterial small subunit ribosomal RNA", at positions 568 to 776 of the family's 1533-position model. The record is from RNAcentral.
CGCGUAGGCGGGGAGGUAAGUCGGGUGUGAAAUCCCUCGGCCCAACCGAGGAACUGCGCCCGAAACUGCUUCUCUUGAGUCCCGGAGAGGAAGAUGGAAUUCCCGGUGUAGCGGUGAAAUGUGUAGAGAUCGGGAGGAACACCGGUGGCGAAGGCGGUCUUCUGGACGGUGACUGACGCUGAGGCGCGAAAGCGUGGGGAGGCAAAACGG